GCGGAGGUAGCCGAGCCUGGUCAAAGGCGCUGGAGUUAAGUUCCAGUACGUAACGUUUCGUGGGUUCAAAUCCCACCCCCCGCA
Molecule: non-coding RNA, 84 nt
Organism: Euryarchaeota archaeon TMED85
Lineage: Archaea; Methanobacteriati; Methanobacteriota
Source: Rfam